This 164-nucleotide ribosomal RNA is filed under the name Xerothamnella herbacea. RNAcentral describes it as "5.8S ribosomal RNA". The stretch from base 1 to 79 matches the Rfam family "5.8S ribosomal RNA", at positions 78 to 154 of the family's 154-position model. The record is from RNAcentral. Lineage: Eukaryota; Viridiplantae; Streptophyta; Magnoliopsida; Lamiales; Acanthaceae.
AAUCCCGUGAACCAUCGAGUUUUUGAACGCAAGUUGCGCCCGAAGCCUUCGGGCCGAGGGCACGCCUGCCUGGGCGUCACGCAUUGCGYCGCCCCCUCCCCCCGUCCUGGUUGGCGGGGGGGCGGAGAAUGGCCUCCCGUGCGCCCCCGUCGCGCGGCCGGCCC